This 464-nucleotide ribosomal RNA is filed under the name uncultured Penicillium. Its description in RNAcentral is "eukaryotic LSU rRNA". The stretch from base 132 to 284 matches the Rfam family "5.8S ribosomal RNA". Lineage: Eukaryota; Fungi; Ascomycota; Eurotiomycetes; Eurotiales; Aspergillaceae. The record is from RNAcentral.
UACCUUGUUGCUUCGGCGGGCCCGCCUUAACUGGCCGCCGGGGGGCUUACGCCCCCGGGCCCGCGCCCGCCGAAGACACCCUCGAACUCUGUCUGAAGAUUGUAGUCUGAGUGAAAAUAUAAAUUAUUUAAAACUUUCAACAACGGAUCUCUUGGUUCCGGCAUCGAUGAAGAACGCAGCGAAAUGCGAUACGUAAUGUGAAUUGCAAAUUCAGUGAAUCAUCGAGUCUUUGAACGCACAUUGCGCCCCCUGGUAUUCCGGGGGGCAUGCCUGUCCGAGCGUCAUUUCUGCCCUCAAGCACGGCUUGUGUGUUGGGCCCCGUCCUCCGAUCCCGGGGGACUGGCCCGAAAGGCAGCGGCGGCACCGCGUCCGGUCCUCGAGCGUAUGGGGCUUUGUCACCCGCUCUGUAGGCCCGGCCGGCGCUUGCCGAUCAACCCAAAUUUUUAUCCAGGUUGACCUCGGAU